AUACGGAGGGUGCAAGCGUUGUUCGGAAUUACUGGGCGUAAAGUGCGCGUAGGCGGUCUGUUAUGUCAGAUGUGAAAGUCCUCGGCUCAACCGGGGAAGUGCAUUUGAAACUGGCAGACUUGAGUACUGGAGGGGGAGGUGGAAUUCCCGGUGUAGAGGUGAAAUUCGUAGAUAUCGGGAGGAAUACCGGUGGCGAAGGCGACCACCUGGCCAGAUACUGACGCUGAGGUGCGAAAGCGUGGGGAGCAAACAGGAUUAGAAACCCCAGUAGUCC
This 274-nucleotide ribosomal RNA is filed under the name uncultured bacterium. RNAcentral's name for it is "partial 16S ribosomal RNA". It matches the Rfam family "Bacterial small subunit ribosomal RNA", at positions 523 to 796 of the family's 1533-position model. The record is from RNAcentral.